AAUGAACGUUGGCGGCGUGGAUUAGGCAUGCAAGUCGUGCGAGAAGCCUUCCUUCGGGGAGGUGGACAGCGGCGAAAGGGAGAGUAACGCGUGGAUACCAACCCCCGGGUUCGGAAUAGCGGCGGGAAACUGCCGGUAAUGCCGGAUAAUAUCUCCGGAUCAAAGCUUCGGCGCCUGGGGACGGGUCCGCGUCCUAUUAGCUUGUUGGCAGGGUAAUGGCCUACCAAGGCUUUGAUGGGUAGCGGGUGUGAGAGCAUGACCCGCCUCACUGGGACUGAGACACUGCCCAGACACCUACGGGUGGCUG
RNAcentral lists this ribosomal RNA (307 nucleotides) under uncultured Planctomycetota bacterium. RNAcentral's name for it is "bacterial SSU rRNA". It matches the Rfam family "Bacterial small subunit ribosomal RNA", at positions 29 to 351 of the family's 1533-position model. Lineage: Bacteria; Pseudomonadati; Planctomycetota. The record is from RNAcentral.